UGUUAAUUAGAGAUAUAUGAUGUUAUAGGAGGAUUAUAGCUCGGAGGAUCGAGCACGAGUGAUUUCCAGGAUUCGCGAGUUAUCGAGAUAUACGAGGUGAGUCUUCUCACUAUACUUUACCUUGAGUAGGUAAUCAGAGUUAUGUGACAGAGUAUGUGUAUGCUAUAUGUAUGUUAUGUGUUGUACUGCAUUAUUUCUAUGUGAUUUAUGCUGUGCAUGUUUAUAGAGUUGGAACCGGAAGGUUCCCAGAGUUAGAACCAGUGGGUUCACAGAGUAGGGUCUACGGACCCACAGAGUUAUAGCCUCGAGUGGCUAAUAUGUGUUAUGUGUGGUAUUUUGGGGAACUCACUAAGCUUUGUGCUUACAGUGUUAGUGUUGUUUGUUUCAGGUACUAGUGAUGACCGUGGGAAGGCGCCGGCUUGAUCUGUACACACGCAUGGGAUUUUUAUGAUAUGUGAUCUUGGGAUUUUGUAUGAUGUGAAUUGGAGUUUUAAACUUGAUGUUUUAUGAAAAUUAAAUGAAAAAUGUUUUUAUAUUUUGCGAAAAAUUAUUUUGAAAUUCACGGUGUUACAAGUUGGUAUCAGAGCCUUGGUUUGAGGGAUUCGAGUACACCUUCGGGCGUAUUUGAACUCAAACUGAGGAUUUGAGAAGUAUUUUCAAAAAGAGUAAAAGAUUUUUGAAAAACGCAGAGCAGAGUUGUGUGUAUGAUCAGUCCGCGCCCGAAUGGUGAUUUCCCAAAAUACCCUCACGUUAUGUGAUAUUGAUACUGAUUUGUUGUAUUCUUAUGCUAGAGUAGGCUAGGUAUUCCUAUUAGGACUAGAGUGGCCUGAUUUGUGAUGCCUUAGCCUAGGAAGAGGUGAGCUGCUAUGAGAUGCUUGAGAGUGAGUAGGUAGCAGCGAGGGGCUUAUGAGAGAUCUAUUAGAGAGUGGUCUAUGCAUGAUAGAGUACUUGGAAUUUGGGAUCCGAAGAGGAGGACUUGGGGUGUAUUCUGAUACGGUGCGGACAGUAGUAUUGGGCCCGUACUACUGAAAGCACCGGAGCGGUGUACAGCCCAAGUAAGAAUCUUUGGAAUACCAAGGAUCAAGGAGGAAUGAGUUGUCGAGUGUGAGCAUGCUCGAAUGGGUUCUAAUUUAUCGUAUGUUGUAUUUCAGAGGUAGAUCAUGGUGAGGACACGUUUGAUGCCUGAGAGCAGUGAUACCAGUGCUGAGGAGAUCCGCCAGUUCAUCCACGAGGAGGUGGCUGCGGCCAUCAGGGCAAAGAUACUAGAGAUGUUUGGGUCUAUUAAGACCACGCUUAUUGAGGCCUUUGUCGAGCGUUAUGCCCCUGUUUCUGAGGUUGUUGUUGCAGCGGCCACCGCAACUAUUGCUGCCGCGAGGCCGCAAGGUGGUGAUGCGUUGCUGUUCUGGGAGUCAGCAACACAAAACCACCAGAGUUUGAUGGGACCCAGGAUCCGGUGGCAGCUAUGAGGUGGAUUUCUGAUAUAGAGGGGUGUUUCUUCACUUGCUCAUCUCCUGAGCAUUUGAAGGUUCGGUUCGCGCUGAACCAGCUUCGCUUGGGAGCGAAGGACUGGUGGAAGUUUGUGACGGCGCAUUUUACGCCUGCUGAGCUUGCGGCAGUGACCUGGGAGAGGUUCACUGCCAUGUUCCGAGAUGAGUACGUUCCCCAGGUGGAGAGGGAGCGUUUGGCCCAGGAGUUUCUGACCCUCAAGCAGGGUACUGAGUCAGUUACAGCGAUUACCAGGAUGUUCCAUGAGAGGGCGAUGUUCUGCCCUGAGCACGUGUCCACUGAGCAGGCACGUAUGAGCCGAUAUUUGAGCAUUUUGAGGCGAGACAUUCGGGAGUUCGCGGCGAACUCCUCGUACCGGACAUUUGCUGAGCUUCAGGCAAAUGCCCGGAAGAGGGAGAUUGAGCUAGAGACUCAGGCCAGGGAGGAGGCGGAGUCUCAGGGGAGGGAUCGGCGACCGGCACAGUCUCAGCCGGCAGCCAAGCGGGCCAAGCCCGCUGAUCCCAAACCAGGGAGCCAGAAGGGCCGCACUUGUGGGAAGUGUGGCAAGGGUCAUGAUGGAGUCUGCAGAGCGGGAUCUUGCUACAAGUGUGGCAAGGAGGGGCAUAUGGCCAAGGACUGCCCCAAGGGGUUUGCGGUGUGUUUUCACUGCAACCAGACCGGACACCGGAAGGCGGAGUGUCCGCAGUUGCGGGGAUCAGCUCAGGGAGCACCUCAGGGAUCUGCCCCUGCCGCCAUCAGAGCUACAGAGAGUCGGCCAGUGAAGGCCGAGGCGCCGAGGGCACGAGGGAGAGCCUUUCAGCUGACCGCGGAGGAGGUCCGCGCAGCGCCCGAUGUCGUGGCUGGUAUGUAUUCUUUCAUGUAUUUAUUUUGAUGUUGAGAUAUUAUGCUUAUGUUAUGUUAUGCGUAGGUACUUUUCUUGUGAAUUCUGUACCUGCCUUGGUGUUAUUUGACUCGGGUGCGAGUCGGUCUUUUGUAUCUUUGGCUUUUAGUCAGCAUAUCAGUGUUAGUCGUGAGGCGUUGAGUCGGCCUCUGAGAGUUUCCAUAGCUGAUGAGAGGGUGAUAUAUGCAACGGAGGUUCUCCGAGGUUGUGUAGUCGAGAUUUUCGGUGUUGAGUUCCCGAAUGAUCUGGUUCCUAUUGCGAUGGGUGAUGUCUGUGUCAUUGUGGGCAUGGACUGGUUGAGCAGAUUCGGUGUGGUUAUCGGCUGCGAGCGUCAACUGGUGACCAUACGAGACCUUAGUGCGGGAGUUCUUUCGGUGUACGGCGAGGGUACACGUUUAGGAUUAGCAUUUUGUUCGGCCGCUAGGGCAAGGCAGUGUCUACAGCAGGGCUGUAAGGGUUUUGUGGCGUAUGUGAUGGAUACGCGGGUGGACUCCGAGAGGCCGAGUUCAAUAGAGGAGGUUCCGAUGGAGGACUUUGUGGUAUACUGUGAUGCAUCGAUUUUGGGGUUGGGAGCGGUGCUGAUGCAGAGGGGGCAUGUGAUAGCAUAUGCAUCGAGGCAGAUGAAGCCUCAUGAGACGAGAUAUCCCACCCAUGAUCUAGAGUUGGGGGCAGUGGUGUUCGCCCUCAAGAUUUGGCGUCACUACUUGUAUGGGGUUCGGUGUACGAUAUACACGGACCAUAAGAGUUUGAAGUAUUUGAUGGAUCAGCCCAACCUAAAUAUGCGUCAGAGAAGGUGGUUGGAUGUGGUCAAGGAUUAUGAUUGUGAGAUCCUGUACCACCCAGGCAAGGCUAAUGUGGUAGCCGAUGCAUUGAGCCGCAGGGCGGAGAGCAUCCCGCCGCGGGAGGUAUGUUUGAGAUUGACCGUGAUAGCUCCAGUGUUGGAUUCCAUUCGUGGGGCACAGGCUGAGGCUGUGCAACCUGAGAUGCAGAAGACGGAACGGAUUGUUGGUUUGGUUUCAGAGUUUGUUACCGAUGGUCGGGGGUUAUGACAUUUCAGGGAAGUAUCUGGGUGCCAUUUAUGGGAGGAACGCGUACCAUUUUGAUGGAAGAGGCUCAUCGGUCAAAAUUUUCGAUCCAUCCUGGGGCCACUAAGAUGUAUUUGGAUCUGAGAAAGGAGUAUUGGUGGCCCUGUAUGAAGAGGGAUGUCGCGUGGUUUGUUGAGAGGUGCUUGACCUGCCGUAGGGUUAAGGCUGAGCACCAGAGGCCGCAUGGUAAGUUGCAGCCAUUGGAGAUUCCCGAGUGGAAGUGGGAACAGAUCACUAUGGAUUUCAUCACCAAAUUGCCAAGGACUGCCAGGGGACUUGAUGCAAUCAGUGAGAGUUCUUCAGAAGAGAAACUGGCGGAGGUGUAUGUGAGGGAAGUGAUAUCUCGGCAUGGGGUACCGAUCUCGAUUGUUUCAGACCAUGAUGUGCGUUUCACUUCCAGAUUCUAGAAGAAGUUUCAUGAGGAGUUGGGUAUUAGACUGCAUUUUAGUACCGCAUAUCAUCCCCAGACAGACGGUCAGAAUGAGCGGAUGAUUCAGACGCUCGAGGACCCCCAUUUGUUGGGGAGAGGUUGGACAGAGGGUGAUGGCAGUACAGAGAUCGUGCUUCAGACGACAGAGCAGAUCUAGCAGGUCAGACAGAGGUUGUUGACCGCUCAGAGCCGACAGAAGAGUUAUGCAGACAGACGCCGGUCCGAGCUUGAGUUUCAGAUCGGCGACCUUGUACUCCUGAAGGUCUCUCCUUGGAAAGGAGUGAUUCGAUUCUGGAAGAGGGGCAAGUUGGGGCCCCGAUAUAUUGGUCCUUUCCAUGUGAUCACGAGGGUAGGCCGGGUAGCCUAUCGUUUGGAUUUGCCAGCAGAGUUGGGGCANGCAGAGUUGGGGCAGAUUCACGACACUUUUCAUGUGUCGCAGCUGAGGAAGUGUAUAGCCGAUGAGUCGGCAGUGGUUCCAUUAGAGGAUAUUCAGGUGGAUGCGAGCCUGAAUUAUGCCGAGAGACCAGUGGCCAACAGAGAUCGGAAAAUCAAGGUUUUGAGGAACAAGGACGUACCCCUGGUGUUGGUUCAGUGGCAACAUCGGAAGGGAUCAGAGAUUACCUGGGAGCCGGAGCGUGAGAUGCGAGAGCAGCAUCUGGAGCUAUUUGCAGAGCGAGACUUCGAGGGCGAAUUCUAGUUCUAGUGGGGGAGAAUUGUAACAGCCUGGAUUUCCAGGUAUCUUUUAUUCAUAUAUUUGGCGUUUUGUGAGGGGACUCGGCGAGUUGGAGCUCAAACUCGCCGAGUAGGAUCGCGGUUCUGGACGCGGGUUCGCGCCUGGACUCGGCGAGUCCAAGGAAUGGACUCGGCGAGUCCGCGCUGUUUAAUGAAACCCUAAUUUCCCGGUCCUAAGCCCUAUUUAAAGGACCUUAUGGCCCUUCAUUGCGGCUACCUUGACCUUGAGAGCACCAAAGCAGCUGAGGGUUCUUGUGAGUGAGAUAAGAGGCCAUUAUUCACCAAAUUUGUGUGUAUUUGCAAGAAAAUAAGGAGAAAGUCAAGCUACAAGAGUUGGGGAGCUUGGAUCUACUCCCAUUUCGACAGGGGAAGCUUCUUGAGGUAUCAUUCAGAGCUUAUUUCUGUAUUUUUGUUGAUAUGGUCAAAUCUAGGGUUUCUUCAUGCCUUGUUUGCUUUGUAAUUGGAGUGUGAGAGGUCCCAUGGGGAUAUGGUACCUAGAUCUGGACCUUAGCAGGUCCAGAGAGUCCCAAAUGCCAUGCUUUAUGUCCUUCCUUUUGGGUUGGAGACUAGGCUUGCCAUCUUAGAAGUCAUUUCUUCAAAAAGAGCCUUGCAGGUGUUUCAUGGUAGCCAAGACUGUGACUUUACGUGAUGAAUGAGCUUAGGAGGGCCAGAUCUAUGAGUGGAUGGAGUGGAUCUGACCUCAGAAGCGAGAUUGAGUUGAUGCAUGGCAUGGACUCGCCGAGUCUGAAGAACAGACUCGGCGAGUAGCAUGAAGAUUGUCCUUAACCACUCAGCGAGUGGUCUUGCCGAGUUAAGGGUUGACUCAGUGAGUCAGGGAGAGUUAGAGAGGGUUGACAGGUGGACUGAGUCGAGCUGGAACUCGCCGAGUUGUUCUUGAGACUCGGCGAGUUGAGUCGUGGUGGCCCCGCGAUUCAUGCGAGGUGGAACUCGUCGAGUCAGGGGAGUACUCGACGUGUCAAAAGAGAAUCCUAGAGAGUUGGUGAAAACAUUUAGACUCGUCGAGUCGCUUUAGUGCACUCGCCGAGUCCGGUCAAAGUUGACCAUUGACCGUUUACCAGAGUUGACUAGUGUUGACUUGAUAGGGGUAGUCAACCUUAGUGGUAAAAGUGUUAAUUAGAGAUAUAUGAUGUUAUACGAGGAUUAUAGCUUGGAGGAUCGAGCACAAGUGAUUUCCAGGAUUUGCGAGUUAUUGAGAUAUACGAGGUGAGUCUUCUCACUAUACUUUACCUUGAGUAGGUAAUCAGAGUUAUGUGACAGAGUAUGUGUAUGUUAUGUGUUGUACUGCAUGAUGUCUACGUGAUUUAUGUUGUGCAUGCUUAUAGAGUUGGAACCGGAAGGUUCCCAGAGUUAGAACCAGUGGGUUCGCAGAAUAGGGUCUACGGAUCCACAAAGUUAUAGCCUCGAGUGGCUAACAUGUGUUAUGUGUGUUAUUUUGGGGAAGUCACUAAGCUUUGUGCUUACAGUGUUACUGUUGUUUGUUUCAGGUACUAGUGAUGACCGUGGGAAGGCGCCGGCUUGAUUUGUACACACGCAUGAGAUUUUUAUGAUAUGUGAUCUUGGGAUUUUGUAUGAUGUGAAUUGGAGUUUUAAACUUGAUGUUUUAUGAAAAUUAAAUGAAAAAUGUUUCUAUAUUUUGCGAAAAAUUAUUUUGAAAUUCACGGUGUUACAACAAGGUUCCUUUAUUUUUCCGAAAAGUUUGUUAUCCAAGAAAAUCCCAUAUUUUCUAAUAAGAAUAGUUGAGUUAUCCGUUUAGUUACUCGGUCUAGUUAAGAACAAUUCAGUUAUCCCAGGAAAAACCCUUAUUUUCCUAAA
RNAcentral lists this long non-coding RNA (6466 nucleotides) under Lactuca sativa (garden lettuce). RNAcentral's name for it is "long non-coding RNA (LSAT_LNC004128)". Lineage: Eukaryota; Viridiplantae; Streptophyta; Magnoliopsida; Asterales; Asteraceae. The record is from RNAcentral.